This 49-nucleotide transfer RNA is filed under the name Idotea baltica. RNAcentral describes it as "tRNA-Cys". Lineage: Eukaryota; Metazoa; Arthropoda; Malacostraca; Isopoda; Idoteidae. The record is from RNAcentral.
UCUAUUGACUUCUUAAAAAUCAGACUGCAAACCUGAUAAAGCACUAGUG